CCCUGUGAAUGACCAUUGCACUCUACUAGGUAGAUGGAAGGAUACCGAAGACUUUAGACAUUUUGUUGCUGAGCUCAUCCAAAAGACCAAUCAGUAUAUGCCAUUACCUGUAGAUCUGGAAUUCUUUUUUGAACUUUGUAAAACAACAUAGUUUUCUUCAGUUAUUCGACCCAGCAACCUUCAAUAAUGCUGAAGAAAACUGAACCAAAGAAAACUGAAGAAAACUAUCAACAUUAUUGAAGGUUGCUGGGUGGAACAGCUGAAGAAAACUGUGUUGUUUUACGACAUUUAAAUGACCUGAUCUCAUGCUAGUGGUAGACAUUCCAGAUAAAAGAAUUCCAAGUCUACAGGUAAUGGUAUAUACUCUGAUUUAUAAUGUUCAAAGUCUUAGGUAUCCUUCCAUCUACCUAGUGCAAUGGUCAUUCACGGGUUGGUAAGGGAGAUACUGUCAUAUUAAGCAAUAUGAUUUUUAAGUUUGACGAGGGAAUUAAUUACUAGAACUAUGAGAAAACAAAUUGGCCGCCAUAUUAUUGUUGAGCAGUAGUUCACUAAAGAGGAUUUCACUUUCAUGGCUGAAACCUCUGCUUUGUAGAAUCUGCAUUUAAUUUAUGGAGUAGUAGACGAUGGUGGCUAUGCACUGUAAAUCACUAAUAUAUGUGUGUGCUAUGUAAAAAUUCAGUACAUAAUUAUAUUAUACUAUAUGUUGAGCAGUAGUUCACUAAAGAGGAUUUCACUUUCAUGGCUGAAACCUCUGCUUUGUAGAAUCUGCAUUUAAUUUAUAUAGUAGACGAUGGCGGCUAUGCACUGUAAAUCACUAAUAUAUGUGUAUGCUAUGUAAAAAUUCAGUACAUAAUUAUAUUAUGCUAUAUCAAACUAGAUGAAAUGAAAUAUCAAAAUAAAUAGAGGAUUGCGCAAGAUUCUCUCCACAGCCAACUAUUUGGGUCUUCAAACCUGUUAUAGGUAGGCACUCUGUUUGAUCUCCUUCAUCUAGUAUUGUGCACCCUGUAUGAAGCAGCAUCUUGUAUCCAACGGAAAUUAUUUUAGAAAAUUUGAGUUUAAGAUGUUCCUUAUUUGUCAAGAUUAAUUGUUUAUGUAUUCUCAUGUGAAAUCUCUAGUUGUGUAAAUGUACAACUUUUUUCCUUUUACCCAAAUAUAUCCAGAAAGUAGCGAGUAGUUGGCCCUUCUUCAUAAUCUGGUUUUUGCAUUAUCGGUUAUGAUUUUGUACAUCUUAUGAGCAUUACUUGUGCUGCGUCGUUCUUAGCCUUGAUGAAUACAUGAAAGGAUUAUGUAUCUUACACGACCAUCAGGCUAUUUUCACAUCUUCUUACUAGACCAAAACCAACAUAUUUAGCAUACUUCCUAUAAUUUAAGGAAACUUCAUACUCGAACUAUAUGUCAUUCACUACUUACAUUCUUCAAUUUUUUCAUCCCUAUGAUCAAACUCUUCCUCUGAACUUAACGUCAUUGAUUCUUUAUAUUUUUCAACUUUUUCAUCAACAUCUAUCAAAAAAAGAUACAAAAUUAAGUGUUAAGUUAAAGCAAAAUUAUAACGCAAACAAAAGUGAAAAAGUCUAAUCAAUUUGAGGAUUAUCUUGGUGGGUUAAAGCAUUGUCUUUUGAAAUCUGUGUAUAUACAGAUUCAACUUCGCCUUCAUUAUCUAACUAUGUGCUUGAGAGAGUCCAUUUAAGAGAAGAAAAGGCGAACACAAAGAGUAACCGAAAAGUGUCAUUGAUUUUGUACAAGCUUUUUUUCGGAAUGGUUUUCUUUUAAAAGAAUUUAACCACUCCUACAUUGUCCUAAUUUCUAAAGUGGAUAACCCUUCUAGGAUUAAUCAAUUUAGGCUUAUUAGCCUUGGCAAACUUUAAUUACAAAAGCAUUUCAAAAAAUUUGGUCAAUUGCCUUAAGUCUCACUUGGAUAAAUUUGUCUACCCGAAUCAAUCCGUUUUCAUCAAAGGCAGAUCAAUUCAUGACAAUUCUAUUCUUGCCUAUGAUAUCUUCCAUACCAUGAAAAACAAAUAGGGCAAUGGUGGUCUCAUGGCCAUCAAACUGAACAUGAAAAAGGCUUUUGACUGUAUGGAAUUAAAAUUUCUUUCAAAAAAUUUCUUGGCCUUAGGCUUUAGCCAUUCCUAGAUCCAUCUCAUUGAGCAGUGUGUCUCCAUUAUCUCCUUCUCUGUUUUGUUGGAUGGCAUGGCAAACUCUCUCCCUCUCGUAGCCUAAGGCAAGGAAACCCCUCUUUCCUUUUUUUUUUCAUCCUAGGCACAGAGGUUCUUUUAAGGUUAAUCAGCAAAGAGGAGGCUCUUGGCAACCUUCAUGGGAUUAAAAUCUCCCGCCAAAGUCCCCCUCUUUCUCACCUUCUCUUUGCUGAUGAUCUAAUAAUUUUCGCUAAGGCAAAUUUCUCUGAAGCUUCCUAUGUCCUUAGUUGCCUUAAUAGAUACUCUGUCUGGUCCGGCCAAAAGGUGAAUCUUUCCAAAUCCUCCAUCUUUCUUAUAAGAACUGCACUCCUACCACUACCUCCUCUAUUCUACAAAUCCUCAACCUCCGCCAGAUUCCCCCUAAAAAGCUAUGUAUUUUGGUCUUCCUCUCUUUUUCCAUAGAAAUAAAAGCUUAGCUUUUGUUAAUCUUAAACAGAAAAUCCUAGCUAAAAUCUUUGGUUGGAAGUCCAAACUCCUAUUCCAAGCAGCUCGUACCACUCUCAUUAAAUCCAUAGCUAAUGCCAUUCCUUCAUAUUCUAUCUCUUUUCCUUCUUCCUAAAUCUUUUUGUGAAAGCAUAGAACCUUUUCUUAGAAAAUUUUGGUGGGGUGUCCCCCUUGAAAAAAAGCACAACCUCAUGCUUCUAAGUUGGAAGAAAAUUUGCUCCCCAAAAUCUUGGGGUGGUCUGGGCAUUAGACCUCUUAAGUCCCAAAACAGGUCCCUCCUUGCUAAAUUGGCUUGGAAUCUUCUGUCUAAUAAAAACUUCUUAUGGGUUUCUGCCCUAAAAUCCAAAUACCUCUUCAAUUCUGACCUCUUAAACUCCUCUACCUCCCCCACUGCCUCUUGGCUCUAGAAAUUGAUCAUUAAGUGUAGGGAUCUUGUUGCUAAAGGUGUGUCGGUCUGUCUCUACGGGCUCUUCCAUUGAUGUUUGGAAUUCCCCAUGGAUCCCCUCCAUUUUAGGUUUUAAACCCACCCCAAAUCCCCUAAUCUUUUAUCUUCCCAACUUGACAGUGGCCGAUCUCAUCUGCCCCCUCCAGCAUUGCUGGUACAUCCCCAUCCUUAAUGCCCUUUUUGAUCCUCACACUAUCUCAAAAAUUCUUGACAUUCACCUCUCUUGACAAGAUGAUCUGGACCCCCUCCCCCAUAGGUGCUUUUACUGUUAAAUCAGCCCAUGAAAUAGACCCC
This 3375-nucleotide non-coding RNA is filed under the name Betula luminifera. The record is from RNAcentral. Lineage: Eukaryota; Viridiplantae; Streptophyta; Magnoliopsida; Fagales; Betulaceae.